RNAcentral lists this long non-coding RNA (2390 nucleotides) under Sus scrofa (pig). RNAcentral describes it as "lncRNA (ENSSSCG00015012844.1)". The record is from RNAcentral. Lineage: Eukaryota; Metazoa; Chordata; Mammalia; Artiodactyla; Suidae.
UUUGUGUUUAUUCUAUUGUGAAUUUAGAUAUCAUAAUACUAAUUUCAAAUAAUAUCCAUCUAAUCCAGUUAUCUACCCAUAUGUAUAUCCUACAAUUUCUAAACUAAUUAUUUUAUAAUGUAAUAAAAUGGGCAUUUUUUAGAAGAAUCAAACCCAUAUUGUAGAAUGAGAACUAGGAUAUUACACUAGACAACUAGCUUAAGCAUAAUUAUCCAUCACAAACAAAAAAUGAUUUUUUAAAAAAGCAGUAAACUUGGAGUUCCCAUUGAGGCACAGAGGAAAUGAAUCCAACUAGGAACCGUGAGGUUGCAGGUUCGAUCCCUGGCCUCACUGCUCAGUGGGUUAAGGAUCCUGCAUUGCCAUGAGCUGUGGUGUAGUUUGCAGACGCAGCUCGGAUGUGGCAUUGCUGUGGCUGUGGUGUAGGAUGGCAGCUACAGCUCCAAUUAGACCCCUGGCCCAGGAACCUCCAUAUGCCAGGGGUACAGCCCUAAAAGGACCAAAAAAAAAAAAAAGGCAGUAAACUUGUAAACUUUCCAUUAGUUCCUCCUGAGUGCAUGAGUACAUGAUAGAAAGUUGGAGACCCUCAGAUAGACGCAACCAACAGAAUUAAUUAUCUGUGUCCUGAUCUAGUUGGAAUUUCUUUUCUCAUAUUACCAUGUUCUGUCCCCUUUGGGUCUUCAUUUGAGAAAAAGGGAGAUUAAAUUCUGCCCCAUUUGCUCUAAAGAAUGUCUUCUUCAUUAGAGUUUGGGACAAAGACGGAUCGCCUACAGCUCAAAAACAGAAAAUGCCUGAAGUUUUGUAAACCUAUUCUCCUUAGACAUAGGAUCUGCUCAUUUUCUAGAAAUGACAUAAUAAAACAGCACCAACUGAGUGACUUAAACAGCAGAAAUUAAUUUCUUACAGGUUUGGUGGCUGGAUGUCUAAGAUCAAAGUGCUGGUGGGGUUGGUUUCUGGAGAGACUUUCUUCCUGGCUUCUUAACAGUCACCUUCUCCCAGUGUCCUUGUGUGGCCUUUUCACUCCUGGUAUCUCUUUUGUUCUUAUAAGGACACCAAUCCUAUUGGAUUAGGAUCCACACUUACAUCUUCUUUUAACCUUAAUUACCGUCUUAAAGACUCUAUCUCCAAAUUCAGUUGCAUGGGGGUUAAGGCUUCAACAUUUGAAUUGAGGGGGAGAGGAACACUAUUCUGUCCAUUACCCAGGAGCUCAGAUUUUACUGCUUAUGUUACAUCCUACAAUAUGUGGGCUAUGCUAUAGUUGACAUAUAUUGCUCAAAGAGACACAAGGUGGGGUUCUAUAAUUCCAGUUACAACGUAGAAGUGGUAUUUCUGGUUUUCAGUGGGAAAUGGAGAAUUCCAUAUUGAGACAUAAAAUCAGUGAAAUAAAUAACAUAAUUCUAGAUUGAGCCAUAAUGCACUGAAAUAAAUAGAUGGGCAUGUGACAAAUGAAAGACUGUAUGCAACGUAUUUAGCAAAACUGAAUUACAGUUGAAAAAUCACUCCCAAAUCCAAAGCCAAGUGUUUCCCUGUGAUAAUUACAAUUGAAAAUGGCUUAAAAGAUUGGGCCUGUGUUAGCACAUUAGUGUAUUCAGAAAAUCAACCAUCAGCAAACAUUCCAUCCAGGAAUUUUAUCUUUAGUUCUUUCUGACGUUAUAAAGGUCCCCUCCUCCUUCCUUUUUUAUUAAUGAAUUAGGGGCUUUCCACCUGCGAGGCAGCUUUGAAGUCACAUUUCCUUCUAGAAGUCCAGACUUCCUUCAGAGAUUUCUUCCUAAAUCCUCUUAGAGAAUAUGGUGCUCAGAGCUUUUGUUCUAUAUAAUCACUCCCUGAUGGGAUGAGGGAACUUGGGACCAAGUAACCUAGUGCUUGAAACCCCUCCUAUUGCUGUCAGACUUUAGCAGGUGCUGCAGGACUCGGGGAGGAAGAGCCCCCCCAGCUCUGAGAAGGAGGAGUUCUCAUCAGCAUAGCCUUAUUUGAAAGCAUCUCAACAAAUCUUAACAGGCAUGCGUGCACACACGCACACGUGUAUGUGUGUGUGUGUGUGACACACACAGGCAAGGGUUAUUACAUAUAUCCUUCUUAAUAUAUACAUAUCUAUAUUUUUCCCCUUUGAAUUCCAUUUACCAUCUUGUAGGGCUCUUAUAGAAAAACAAACAUCAGCAAAUUGUUCUUACUAUCUCUGAGCUUGUUUAAAUAUUGAAUACCCCUUUUAUUUUACCAUCUAAAAUCAGAAUCAAUUUGGUAUUUCCAAUCCAUCUGAGCACUUCCCACAAAGGUCUUACAUGUUAUCCUUUUGGUUUAUGAACUUUUAAGAUCUCUAGACAAUUCCAGAGCCUUUGAGUUAUGUUUUUCAUUAUGACUUUGGCUGCUGCCAAAAGAAAGACUGAAUCAUUAAA